AUGACCUCACGGUGGUAAGAUUACCCGCUAAACUUAAGCAUAU
Molecule: ribosomal RNA, 43 nt
Filed under: Tulasnella sp. KUC11053
Lineage: Eukaryota; Fungi; Basidiomycota; Agaricomycetes; Cantharellales; Tulasnellaceae
Description: partial 28S ribosomal RNA
Source: RNAcentral